This 447-nucleotide ribosomal RNA is filed under the name uncultured bacterium. Its description in RNAcentral is "bacterial SSU rRNA". It matches the Rfam family "Bacterial small subunit ribosomal RNA", at positions 329 to 793 of the family's 1533-position model. The record is from RNAcentral.
CUCCAGACUCCUACGGGAGGCAGCAGUGGGGGAUAUUGCACAAUGGGGGAAACCCUGAUGCAGCGACGCCGCGUGGGUGAAGAAGCGCCUCGGCGCGUAAAGCCCUGUCAGCAGGGAAGAAAAUGACGGUACCUGAAGAAGAAGCCCCGGCUAACUACGUGCCAGCAGCCGCGGUAAUACGUAGGGGGCAAGCGUUAUCCGGAUUUACUGGGUGUAAAGGGGGCGCAGACGGCGAUGCAAGCCAGGAGUGAAAGCCCGGGGCCCAACCCCGGGACUGCUUUGGAAACUGUGUUGCUGGAGUGCUGGAGAGGCAAGCGGAAUUCCUAGUGUAGCGGUGAAAUGCGUAGAUAUUAGGAAGAACACCAGUGGCGAAGGCGGCUUGCUGGACAGUAACUGACGUUGAGGCUCGAAAGCGUGGGGAGCAAACAGGAUUAGAUACCCUCGUAA